AAAUAAUACAAGUGUCUUGCAAAAAAUGCAUCUACAAUAAUUUUUUAGUGAUUGUUCUAAUAACCCAAAUUCAAAACUACCUAAAUAUCCCACAGUAGUGAAUUAUUUAAAUAAAUAUGGUACAAAACCCAGUAGAGAACUAUUCAGCUUUAAAAAUGUGGUUGUAGGUAAUUUAUUAAUUGAUUAUAUGAAAAAGAGCUGAAAACAAUAAUAUCCUAUUUUAUGAAAAAAAUUUAAUAAAGAGAUAUAUGUUGACAUAGGAAAUCAGAUAACUAAGAUUACUUCUGAGCAGUAAGGUCAUUUUCUUCAUUUGGCACGUCUGAAUUUUCUAAUUUUUCUCCAAAGUUUUGUACCAAGGGAAAAAUGAUAAAAGUACAUUUUAAUUUUAAAAAGUCAUUAAGCCUGUAAUAUUUUGGCUGGAUAUAAAAAGUCUUGGUGAGAGGGGGCAUGGGACUGGGGAAAAGAAAGUAGUAGCUGGGGAGGACUUGUGUCCAUGUUUAUAUUCAACACCUUCCCCGAGAACAAAAGAGACUUUUUAACCUUCUGCUAAAAGGCAGAAUCAGAAUAAAAGUAUGAUGUUGUACAGCAGGAAAUUCCAGUUCUGAAGACAGAAGAGUUUCUCUGGCAGAAGUAGAGACAUCCAAUGGGAUGAGGCUGCCUGAACACAGGGUGGGAUCCCCUUCCCGCUAUGUGAACAGCACAACUGCCCAAGAAGGCACAGGGAUCAGAGGUGGCAUGAGGGACUUCUGUGUAGGGAUGGGGUCUUGCUGUGUCACUCAGGCUGGAGUGCACUGAUGCAGUCAUGGCUCACUGCAGUCUCAAACUCCUGGACUCAAGGAAUCCUCCUGCCUCAGCCUUCUGAGUAGCUGAGACUUCAGGUGCGCGGCACCAUGCCUCACUAAUUUUUUUUAUUUUUUAUUAUUUUAUAGAAGUGAGGAUCUCAUUAAGUUUCCCAGGCUUACCUUGAACUCCUGGCUUCAUGAACUCAUUUAAAGAUUUGGCAUCCUAGCAUUAUUCAUAGAGGUCCAGACAUGACUCUCAAUUUGUUUUUUAUUUUAUAUCUCUGCUACAAAUUUUUGUACCUGUCCAUUUAAAAUCUGAGCUUUUGAAAGAACUCUGCACAACAUUCACAGCACAAGGGCAUUAAGGCAGAAGGGGAAACUAAAGGUCAGAGAAUAAGGAGUGAAUCAUUGGUGAUGAAAUACAGGCAGUAUGAAUAGCAAAUUAUGAAGAAUUUGCUGGUGAACUGUUUCACAUGUAAUAGUUCCUCCUGCUAAGAUGGUGGAUUCACUGUCACGUCUGACCCAUGUUGUUAUAACUCUUUUCCACUGAAAGGUACAUCUGUGUAAUCUAGACCAGCAGACAUUUCCUCUGACUUCCAUCAUGUACACAGUGUCCUAUAGAUUCCAAAGCUCUUUCAGAUAUGCUAUUACACUUACAUUUCCUUCCCAUUUUCUUUUUUUUUCCCCCAAUAGGAAUGGUGUUCUUAGCCUCCCAUGUUCAUAACAAUUUUUUUUUUUUUUUUGAGAUGGUGUCUCGCCCUGUU
RNAcentral lists this long non-coding RNA (1546 nucleotides) under Homo sapiens (human). Its description in RNAcentral is "HSALNT0140088". The record is from RNAcentral. Lineage: Eukaryota; Metazoa; Chordata; Mammalia; Primates; Hominidae.